Molecule: long non-coding RNA, 2990 nt
Organism: Equus caballus (horse)
Lineage: Eukaryota; Metazoa; Chordata; Mammalia; Perissodactyla; Equidae
Source: RefSeq, a predicted model, not a curated record
GAGGCGGCGAGGGCGUCCCAGGGCGCGCAGGUCGCCUCCACCUUCAGUCCUGCCUGCGGGCCCCCGGGGCCGGGCGCGCGGCCUCCAGGGCCCGGGCUGCUGGGAGCGGACGCGCGGGGGAGGCGGGCGCGUGCCGGUGCGCGUGCCCGGGCCGUGCUCACAAAGGAGGCCCUUCCCCUGGCGUCCCGCAGCCUGCUCGGGGAGCGCGCGUGUCCGCGGCCCCGGGCCCGGGAGGAGAGGGUCCGCCCGCGACCCCCACAGGGCUCCCCGCUCCCCGGCCGCUGGAGCUGCCCUUUAUUUCUUUAUUCUGGUGGGGGAAGGCGGGGUCAUCUCUCUUGGAGACGACUAUCUUUCCAGGAAGUUUGUGCCUAUUAAUAUUUCAGUUCCUGGCAGCUGCUUUAAGUGCUGGGGGGGCGGGGGGACGGGGGGCAAGUUCAAGGCUGCCGGAGAGGGAGCUGCUGCGCACUGCCGGCUGUCGUCGGCCGGCCUGGGGCGGCGGGCCCAGGGGCAGCCCGGGCGCCUCCCGGACACGUCCCCUCCAUGGGGGACAGGAGCUGCCAUGACCCCCCUGGGGGACGCGGACGAGGCGGGCGGGUGCCCUCGGAGAGAGGCGGCCCCCGAGGCUGCGAGGAGAUUGAGAGCGAGGGCGCAGCUCGCGCUUCUUGUAGCGGUGCCGGCGGAGGAGCAGAGAGGGCCACUCGGCCGCCGGAGGUCGGCGGUGGGUGGGUGCGGGUGGGGGGCGCAUCCCGGUAGGAAGGCGCGUCCCCGCGAGCUCGGGCCCGCCUACCGCACUCGCGGGGGUCAGGCGAGGAGGAGGCCCGGAGCCGGGACGAGGUCGGGACGCUCACUCCGACCUUGGUGCGGCUACACAACGGGAGGGCGCUGCAGCAGCAACUUGACCUUUUAAAGCUCGUAUACUCGUCCCAACCCCUUACAAGGUGAUCGUUAUCUCCAGUCUCCGGGAGCGGAAAACGGAGCUCGGAGAAGUUAACGUGCUCCAGGUCACAGUGCUGCUGCCCGACGGCGAGGUCCCCCAUUUUGGACAUACAUCGUGCAAGAAAGGGUACCUUGGAGGCGAACGCGACAGUCUUCUUCCUACAGUAUCGGCCAACAGAGUCGUCCCCUAAGGGAACCACAGGAGGAGUGGGCCUCUGGAGCGGCAGCGGCUCGAAGCUUGCCAGGUUUUUCCUAAUCCCCGGCGUUCACCCGAGAAGUGCCUGCUCAGGCCUUCCAGCCAAUCACACAUCUGGAACACCAGUCAUUUUGCCAAAGAGCAUUUAUUUUUAACACCCCUCAGGUGCAUAUGUAGAUAAAGAGAUUUGAAGUGGUUGACAACAGCUCACUCUGGAGUGUGGGCUCCUGACAAGGGUACUUCAGUUCGAACUAACUGUCCCCAGGGUAGAAAUGGACGUCAGCACUCUCUCCUCCCGUUUCCCAGAGUCGGUGGUAGAUGCUAUGGCAAGCUUCCUGCUCAGGAUUAUCAGCCCCACGCUGCUCGGGCACUCUGUCCAGCUCUGCAGGAAGGUCACUGACUCCAGGGACAAGACUUGCAAACACUCGGGCAAAGGGAAAGUUUGCCUCAUGAAUCUUCUCACUCUGGUCUCCCGGUCCCCUCUCCCUUCCUCCCCAGCCACGAGUGUUUCUCCGGGGUGGCCAGUGGACCAGAGGGGAGGAUGCGCCAGAUUUCGGGCAUUUUCAGGGAAAGAUUCGCCCUGAGCUAACAUCUGUUGCCAAUCUUCCUCUUUUUUUCCCCCUCCCCAGAGCCCCGGUGCAUGGUUGUCUAUCCUAGUGGUCGGUCCUUCUAGUUCUUCUGUGUGAGCCACCACCACAGCAUGGCGACUGACAGACGGGUGGUGUGGUUCGGCACCCGGGAACCGAACCCGGGCUGCUGAAGCUUUGACGGCACCGAACUUUAAGCCCUAGGCCAUCAGGGGUGGCUCUCGUAAUUUUUUUCAUUGACAAAUGGACAUUUUAGAUGAUAUAUUUUAGCAGCUCUGGAUUCCAUCCCUCCCUCUGCCAUCAUUAUUGCUGGAUUUGGUUUAUUGUUGGCUCGCUCAGAUAAGUGUCAUUUUCUGGAGUCUGUCUCCCCACAGCUGCUGCUCUCUCUGCUUGGUUUUUUCUUCUUGUUUUGGCUGCUUUGGUGGGGUGAUAGUUAGGCCUUCCAGGUGUGAAAGGGCAUUUUUUUGGGGGGGGGGGCAGUGUAUCUCUAAGGGGGAGGUGAGGGCCCUGGAAGAAGCCUAACAAAUUCUCCCGACUGACAGCUGGCUGCAGGACGUGUGAGGACUCCUAGCCCCUUCCAGAGCAGGCUUUCAGGAUGGGUGAGGCCAGGAAAGGAGGGCUCACCGGCCAAGGGCAGAGCCAGGACAGCAAGGGGCCUCCUCACUUGGGUGGGCUGAGGGAGCUCUUUCCCUCCUGGUAGAUUAUCUGUCCCUGUCCCAGACAGGAGUGCUCAGUGGCCCUCCACGUUCAGUCAGUCAAUUACCAAUGACAGGGGCAGCAGGCCCUGGAACAGCACCGGACAACAGUGGGGAGACUGAUGAGAAAGUGCAGAGGGCUGCAGCAGCCCCAGGCGGGUGAAGGGAGAGAGGAGAGACCAAGGGGCUUCAGGGAGGAGGGUCUGGGCUAUCCCCACAGCCCCCAGAGCCUCAGGCUGUCUUUCUGCUGUAGCCAGAGAAAGUUGCAGUGGGACCUCUACAGCCUGAUGGCCAAGACUCACAGCGGAGGUCUCUGGGCAAGGCACUCUUUGUCCCACUUUAUAGAUAAGGAAACUGAGUCUCAGAGAGGUUGAGUGACUUGUUCCAGGUCACGCAGCUGGUAAGUGGUGAAGUCAGAAUUCACCCCAGUAUUAGGAUAUAAGAAGCACUCUCCAUGAAUCCUAUAAAAAAGUCUUUAUGUCCCCACCCCCACCUCUACUGGAGAGCCUGAUUCAAAAUAAGUGUCAGGAACUGCGGGUAGCACAAAUAAAUAAAGAAUAAAUAGAAAACGAUGAA